Molecule: non-coding RNA, 391 nt
Organism: Meleagris gallopavo (turkey)
Lineage: Eukaryota; Metazoa; Chordata; Aves; Galliformes; Phasianidae
Source: RefSeq, a predicted model, not a curated record
CGUGAGUGCAAAGCCAGGGCUUGGACAGGGUAGCAGGUCUGAAAUUUAGGCGUAGGCGUUGGCAGCACGUCAAGGGAGCAGGCACUGCUCAUGCGCUGAAUGCCCACGGUUAGGCCUGCAGAGUCCAGGAUGCAAGUCAUUCUUUCUCCCCUUCUUCUUUCAGGUGGCACCGAUCCUCCACAUCCUGCGCAGCUGCACAUCGUCUGCGCAGCAGAGCACGUUUGUGCCCUUCCUGUGCCAGGCAGUGGUCAUCCUCGCCCGCUGUCACACUGAGGCCAUGAUUAACAACUUCUCCCGGCUGCUUGGACCCACAGACAGUGAGACGUGGAAGCGAAUCAGAGAGUUUUGCCUUCAACGGUGGAGCCAGUAGAAGAAAAGAAAGGAAAAGAAA